GCCAGACUCCUACGGGAGGCAGCAGCGGGGAAUAUUGCACAAUGGGGGAAACCCUGAUGCAGCGACGCCGCGUGAGUGAAGAAGUAUUUCGGUAUGUAAAGCUCUAUCAGCAGGGAAGAAGAAGGACGGUACCUGAGUAAGAAGCCCCGGCUAACUACGUGCCAGCAGCCGCGGUAAUACGUAGGGGGCAAGCGUUAUCCGGAUUUACUGGGUGUAAAGGGAGCGUAGACGGCAGUGCAAGUCUGAAGUGAAAGCCCCGGGCUUAACCCGGGAACUGCUUUGGAAACUGUACGGCUGGAGUGCUGGAGAGGUAAGCGGAAUUCCUAGUGUAGCGGUGAAAUGCGUAGAUAUUAGGAGGAACACCAGUGGCGAAGGCGGCUUACUGGACAGUAACUGACGUUGAGGCUCGAAAGCGUGGGGAGCAAACAGGAUUAGAUACCCGAGUA
RNAcentral lists this ribosomal RNA (446 nucleotides) under uncultured bacterium. RNAcentral's name for it is "bacterial SSU rRNA". It matches the Rfam family "Bacterial small subunit ribosomal RNA", at positions 330 to 792 of the family's 1533-position model. The record is from RNAcentral.